CCUACGGGGGGCUGCAGUGAGGAAUAUUGGUCAAUGGGCGCGAGCCUGAACCAGCCAAGUCGCGUGAGGGAUGACGGUCCUACGGAUUGUAAACCUCUUUUGCCGGGGAGCAAGCGUGCGUUCGUGAACGCGCGUCGAGAAUACCCGGAGAAAAAGCAUCGGCUAACUCCGUGCCAGCAGCCGCGGUAAUACGGAGGAUGCGAGCGUUAUCCGGAUUUAUUGGGUUUAAAGGGUGCGUAGGCGGGGAUGCAAGUUGGGUGUCAAAACUACCGGCUCAACUGGUAGUCGCACUCAAAACUGCAGCUCUUGAGUGAAGUAGAGGCAGGCGGAAUUCCUAGUGUAGCGGUGAAAUGCGUAGAUAUUAGGAGGAACACCAGUGGCGAAGGCGGCCUGCUGGGCUUUUACUGACGCUGAGGCUCGAAAGUGUGGGGAGCAAACAGGAUUAGAUACCCUAGUAGUC
This 460-nucleotide ribosomal RNA is filed under the name uncultured bacterium. Its description in RNAcentral is "partial 16S ribosomal RNA". It matches the Rfam family "Bacterial small subunit ribosomal RNA", at positions 338 to 795 of the family's 1533-position model. The record is from RNAcentral.